AACGAACGCUGGCGGCAUGCCUAACACAUGCAAGUCGAACGAGACCUUCGGGUCGAGUGGCGAACGGGUGCGUAACGCGUGGGAACCUGCCCUUAGGUUCGGAAUAACUCCCCGAAAGGGGUGCUAAUACCGGAUAAUGUCUUCGGACCAAAGAUUUAUCGCCUUUGGAUGGGCCCGCGUUGGAUUAGCUAGUUGGUAGGGUAAAAGCCUACCAAGGCGACGAUCCAUAGCUGGUCCGAGAGGAUGAUCAGCCACACUGGGACUGAGACACGGCCCAGACUCCUACGGGAGGCAGCAGUGGGGAAUAUUGGACAAUGGGCGAAAGCCUGAUCCAGCAAUGCCGCGUGAGUGAUGAAGGCCUUAGGGUUGUAAAGCUCUUUUACCCGGGAUGAUAAUGACAGUACCGGGAGAAUAAGCUCCGGCUAACUCCGUG
RNAcentral lists this ribosomal RNA (433 nucleotides) under uncultured bacterium. RNAcentral describes it as "partial 16S ribosomal RNA". It matches the Rfam family "Bacterial small subunit ribosomal RNA", at positions 29 to 507 of the family's 1533-position model. The record is from RNAcentral.